Non-coding RNA from Trametes pubescens, 84 nucleotides. The record is from the annotation of a GenBank genome assembly. NCBI's taxonomy places the organism in Eukaryota, Fungi, Basidiomycota, Agaricomycetes, Polyporales, Polyporaceae.
GGCCUGGUGGUCUAGUAGUAUGAUUCCUUCUUAGGGUCUGUUGACAUUUGGAGGAGGUCCCGGGUUCAAUUCCCGGCCAGGCCC